Molecule: long non-coding RNA, 1162 nt
Organism: Myotis lucifugus (little brown bat)
Lineage: Eukaryota; Metazoa; Chordata; Mammalia; Chiroptera; Vespertilionidae
Exons: 2
Source: RefSeq, a predicted model, not a curated record
UUAGGGCCUUGCGUUCUUGGCACAGCUGCUAAGAACAUAGAGGGACAUUUAGGUUCCGUGGCGAUUGAAUGAGUGAGGGAGCAAUGUCUUGCCCUGGCAAUAUUUUAUGACUAACACAAUUUUUUUUUCUCCUUUCCAGGAAUCAUUAGAACAACAAACACAACAAAACCUGUGUCUCAUUCAGUUGACACCUCAUAAAGAUUUAUUUUCACAACAUUUAACAUCUGUUAACUAUGAUGUAUUUUUUCACAUGACAAAGCAGUGUUUUUUGAAGCGCCAUGGCAAGCUAAUCGACCACAUAACUUCAUUGAGUCCAAUUGAUGCAAUGGACAUAUUGAAGAAAAUAAGACAAGAUAAAACAAUAAAAAUAAUAGACAUGUAUCCUUCAGACUUUAAAUGCCUUUUUGAAACUAUAGAAUGUUCCAAAGAUCACACCUGUAAGUGGCUAUAUGAUGACUUCAUGGAAGAUGUAAUCGUAUAGGAAACCGGACUGCCAAGACAGUAGCUGGAGCCGUUUAUUUUAUUUGGAGAUUAUAAAACAGUUGAAAAAGAACUAAGUUUUUAAAGCUCACAGUGUUUCAACAGAAGGUAACUAUUCUUGUUUUACACAAACAAGGCAGGUAAUUUCUUCUGAAGUUGAUACCAUUAGUACAUUGGAUAAAACAGUGGCUGCUAUUUUAUUUACAACUGAAUAAAAUGAAAACUUCACUUAAUUGUGGAUUUAAUCAGCUUAGAUUUGUUUUUUUUAAAAUCCUAUCUACUGUCAACAUACUGGUAGUUGUACGGAAUUACCAGAUGAAAUUAACUUGUAAAAAUCCUUUUAGCUAAAUACUUACAUUGCAUUACUUUAAAUAUUCCACUUUUACUGUUGGUUUUUGCAUCCUCCGGGGGCAGUGUUCAUUUUUAAAAUUAGAAAGUAAAUUAAACUGAUUUAAAUAGUUUGUUUUACUUUUCAGUUUGUUGAAAGGAUUAACAAAUACUGUGCAAUUACAUUUUAAAAUGGCUUACGCUUUUUAGAAAUUAAAAUAUUUUUUAAAAGAUUUUGUGAUUUUUUUUUUUUUGGUUGUUUCAAAUGAAACAAAGUUGACCCUAACUUAUUCACCUUAAAUUCCGUCAUGUAUGGUCAAUGUACAGUCAAUAAAUAAUUCAGUCUGUUACUAAA